GGGCCCGCACAAGCGGUGGAGCAUGUGGUUUAAUUCGAUGAUACGCGAGGAACCUUACCAGGGCUUAAAUGUAAGUUGCAUAAAUCAGAGAUGAUUUUUUCUUCGGACUACUUACAAGGUGCUGCAUGGUUGUCGUCAGCUCGUGCCGUGAGGUGUCAGGUUAAGUCCUAUAACGAGCGCAACCCCUGUCGUUAGUUGCCAUCAAGUAAUGUUGGGUACUCUAGCGAGACUGCCGGUGCAAACCGAGAGGAAGGUGGGGAUGACGUCAAAUCAUCACGGCCCUUACGUCCUGGGCUACACACGUGCUACAAUGGCCGGUACAGAGAGCAGCCACUACGCGAGUAGGAGCGAAUCUUCAAAACCGGUCUCAGUUCGGAUCGCAGUCUGCAACUCGACUGCGUGAAGCUGGAAUCGCUAGUAA
Molecule: ribosomal RNA, 421 nt
Filed under: uncultured bacterium
Lineage: Bacteria
Description: bacterial SSU rRNA
Rfam family: Bacterial small subunit ribosomal RNA
Source: RNAcentral